This 308-nucleotide long non-coding RNA is filed under the name Elaeis guineensis (African oil palm). RNAcentral's name for it is "long non-coding RNA (EGUI_LNC067616)". The record is from RNAcentral. Lineage: Eukaryota; Viridiplantae; Streptophyta; Magnoliopsida; Arecales; Arecaceae.
CGGAUCCUCGUACUGUCGGCAUAUAGUAGUCCAAUUAUCUAUGGUGAUGCUGGCAUAGGACUGUUGCCGCACUGCCUCCUCUCCAUGAUCCUACACCACCCGAUACUAAUGCUGAUGCAUGUGAUGGCGAUAGUCCUUAAAAUGCAGCGAUAACUGAAUGUCGAUGGCUCGCCUUACAUGAUCCUCCUCAAAAUUAGCGAUAUCAAAUACAUCUUGCCAAUAACAAAUAUUAGAAGAAUACUAUGCAAAUUAAAUAUUCAUAAUAUAACUUAUUUUAUCUGAAAAUGGGUGUAAAAAAUCUCUCUCUG